Molecule: long non-coding RNA, 1282 nt
Organism: Gadus macrocephalus (Pacific cod)
Lineage: Eukaryota; Metazoa; Chordata; Actinopteri; Gadiformes; Gadidae
Exons: 2
Source: RefSeq, a predicted model, not a curated record
UGAGUGUGUGGUAGACAGUCUACAACAGCUGUCUGAAGUUAUCAGCACUUAUCUCUCAUAGAGUAUUGUCCCUCCACUAUUGGAUGAUGUAGCUGUGGUUGAAUGAAGUGGGAGUGUGGGGCGACCCCGGCUAAACAUAGAAAGUCAAACCCUCCUGAAUCUACUCAGCACUGGGUUACCACUGACUUCUUUGAGUGACCUCCAUGGGAUUUCAAGGUCAACUCUGUAUAGACCGAUGCAAGAGCAUAACCUCUCCGUCAGAAAAUGCUAUUCUGACAUAUCAGAUGAUGUGCUAGAUCAGAAAGUUAGGUCUAUAAAGGCAAGAAUGCCCCAUGCUGGCUACAGGCUAGUGAAAGGAUAGCUACAAGCAAUGGGGCAUCGGAUUUCGUGGAGAAGAGUAAAGAUGUCAUUGCAGCGUGUGGAUGGUGCAGGAAUAAUUGCCAGGAUGGUCCAGCUGUCUUGCAUUGCAAGACGGACGUACUCUGUUCCCGCUCCCUUGUCUCUUGUCCACAUCGACACAAACCACAAGUUGAUAAGGUGUUAUUUCUCCUAGUGAACUAUUUCUAAUCAUUGGUGAUUUUAUGUCACCCAAUCGUAAUAUCAGUGCUGCAUAACAAUUACCUUUUUGUUAGGUACAACUUUGUGAUUUUUGGAGCAAUUGAUGGCUUUUCAAGGAAGAUCUUUUACCUGGACACAGCUGGGAAUAACAAAGCAGAGACGGCUUUUGGAUUCUUCAUGGAAGGAGUUCGGAAAAAUGGAUGGCCAUCAAGGCAAGCGCAUUAAAUUAGUGUUCAGAAGAAAGAUGACGAUAAAAUGUCCACACACAGAAUUUUAGAAAUAAUAUGCAAUGAGUUAUUUAAAAACAAACAAAAUACCAAUCCAUGUUCCCAACAGCUGGGGUCACUGGUAGUGAAUGUUUGAUCACUUCUCUGCUUCAAUUCAAUGACAUUUUGGGGCUUACCUGCACUCAUUUACAGUUAAUUCAGUGGCAUAGAAGAGACCUGUUGUAAUAUUAAAGAAAUAAGGGGAAAUUAUGCUUGUUUCUAACACAGUAAAAUAUAUUAUUUUGUACCUUGUCUUUCUCUUUCAGAGUACGAACCGAUCAAGGGGUUGAAAAUGUAGACAUCGCUAGAUGCAUGUUUACUGUGCGAGGAACAGCCCAUGGCAGCUUUAUUGCUGGAAAAAGCGUCCAUAACCAGAGUUAAUUGAAUACCAGUACAAAUAACCCAACCCCUCGGGUAAAAAGUAUGCAUGUUAAUAUUAAAUCCCAUCAGUUUCAAAA